Molecule: ribosomal RNA, 273 nt
Filed under: Escherichia coli
Lineage: Bacteria; Pseudomonadati; Pseudomonadota; Gammaproteobacteria; Enterobacterales; Enterobacteriaceae
Description: partial 23S ribosomal RNA
Rfam family: Bacterial large subunit ribosomal RNA
Source: RNAcentral
AAAGAAAGCGUAAUAGCUCACUGGUCGAGUCGGCCUGCGCGGAAGAUGUAACGGGGCUAAACCAUGCACCGAAGCUGCGGCAGCGACGCUUAUGCGUUGUUGGGUAGGGGAGCGUUCUGUAAGCCUGUGAAGGUGUGCUGUGAGGCAUGCUGGAGGUAUCAGAAGUGCGAAUGCUGACAUAAGUAACGAUAAAGCGGGUGAAAAGCCCGCUCGCCGGAAGACCAAGGGUUCCUGUCCAACGUUAAUCGGGGCAGGGUGAGUCGACCCCUAAGG